GCAAACUUGGUCAUUUAGAGGAAGUAAAAGUCGUAACAAGGUUUCCGUAGGUGAACCUGCGGAAGGAUCAUUACCGAGUUAGGGUCUUCUAGGCCCGACCUCCAACCCUUUGUCUACCUGACCUCUGUUGCUUCGGCGGACCCGUCUCGCAAGAGACCGCCGGAGGGUUUGACCCUCUGGCCCGUUGUCCGUCGAUGGCCCUUCUAAAAACUCUUGAUUAAACGUGUCAAGUCUGAAGAACAAAUUGAAUAAAGCAAAACUUUCAACAACGGAUCUCUUGGUUCUGGCAUCGAUGAAGAACGCAGC
RNAcentral lists this unclassified non-coding RNA (306 nucleotides) under uncultured fungus. Its description in RNAcentral is "partial contains small subunit ribosomal RNA, internal transcribed spacer 1, and 5.8S ribosomal RNA". The stretch from base 1 to 73 matches the Rfam family "Eukaryotic small subunit ribosomal RNA", at positions 1759 to 1831 of the family's 1831-position model. Lineage: Eukaryota; Fungi. The record is from RNAcentral.